AGAGUUUGAUCAUGGCUCAGAACGAACGCUGGCGGCGUGCUUAACACAUGCAAGUCGGACGAGAAAUCUUUUCUUCGGAAGAGAGAGUAAAGUGGCGCACGGGUGAGUAACGCGUAGAUAAUCUACCCUCAGGUCGGGGAUAACACUGCGAAAGCGGUGCUAAUACCGGAUAAGCUCGAUUUGGUGCGAAUCAGGUCGAGGAAAGGUGGCCUCUGAUCCAAGCUAUCGCCUGAGGAUGAGUCUGCGUAUCAUUAGCUAGUAGGUGGGGUAAGGGCCUACCUAGGCAACGAUGGUUAGCGGGUCUGAGAGGAUGAUCCGCCACACUGGAACUGGAACACGGACCAGACUCCUACGGGAGGCAGCAGUGAGGAAUUUUGCGCAAUGGGGGCAACCCUGACGCAGCGACGCCGCGUGGGUGAAGAAGGCCUUCGGGUUGUAAAGCUCUGUCAGAUGGGAAUAAGUUCAAUCAUGUUAAGAGCAUGGUUGUUUGAAGGUACCAUCAGAGGAAGCACCGGCUAACUCCGUGCCAGCAGCCGCGGUAAUACGGAGGGUGCAAGCGUUGUUCGGAAUCACUGGGCGUAAAGGGCACGCAGGCGGCCGAUCAAGUCAGGUGUGAAAUUCCAGGGCUCAACCCUGGACGUGCAUCUGAAACUGGUUGGCUUGAGUAUGGGAGAGGAAAGUGGAAUUCCCGGUGUAGAGGUGAAAUUCGUAGAUAUCGGGAGGAAUACCUGAGGCGAAGGCGACUUUCUGGACCAAUACUGACGCUGAGGUGCGAAAGCGUGGGUAGCGAACAGGAUUAGAUACCCUGGUAGUCCACAGCUGUAAACGAUGUGCACUAGAUGUUGGGGGAGUUGACCCCUUCAGUGUCGCAGC
RNAcentral lists this ribosomal RNA (873 nucleotides) under uncultured Pseudomonadota bacterium. RNAcentral describes it as "bacterial SSU rRNA". It matches the Rfam family "Bacterial small subunit ribosomal RNA", at positions 8 to 852 of the family's 1533-position model. Lineage: Bacteria; Pseudomonadati; Pseudomonadota. The record is from RNAcentral.